This 429-nucleotide ribosomal RNA is filed under the name Chloroflexota bacterium. RNAcentral's name for it is "Chloroflexi bacterium partial 16S ribosomal RNA". It matches the Rfam family "Bacterial small subunit ribosomal RNA", at positions 355 to 776 of the family's 1533-position model. The record is from RNAcentral. Lineage: Bacteria; Bacillati; Chloroflexota.
UGGGGAAUAUUGCACAACGGUCGCAAGCCUGAUGCAGCCAUGCCGCCUGUGUGACGAAGGCCAUCGGGUUGUAAAGCACUUUCAGCGGGGAGGAAGGCGAUAAGGUUAAUAACCUUAUCGAUCGACGUUACCCCCAGAAGAACAACCGCCUAACUACGUUCCAGCAACCUCUGUAAUACGGAGGUUGCAAGCGAUAAUCGUACAUACUGGGCGCAAAGCGUACGCACGCGGUCUGUCAAGUCGGAUGUGAACUCCGCGGGCAUAACCAGGGAACCGCCGGCGAAACUGGCAGGUUAGAGUGGUGUAGGGGGGGGUAGAAUUCCAGGCGUAGCGAUGAAAUGGGUAGAGAUAUGGAGAAAUAUCGGUGGCGAAGGCGGCCCGCUGGACAAAGACUGACAUUCAGGUGCGAAAGCGUGGGGAGCAAACUUG